This is a long non-coding RNA of Homarus americanus (American lobster), 1259 nucleotides long. RefSeq lists it as uncharacterized. The transcript is spliced from 3 exons. The record is from RefSeq and is a predicted model, not a curated record. NCBI's taxonomy places the organism in Eukaryota, Metazoa, Arthropoda, Malacostraca, Decapoda, Nephropidae.
AUCAUCUAUGUUCAAGCAAGAAAAAAAACUAUUUAGCGGUUUUGUUCGUGGUAAUUCUUCAGCAUUUUUUGUUUUGUCGGACGUCUUCCCAAGUCAGCCAGCAGCUAACACAAUGGCGGCGUGGACGGAGGAAGUUUCAAGGACCAACAACACAUCUCGGUAUGACAAGCUAAGACUCGACUAUACAAACUGAUGAAACACCUCUGACCUGUGGGACACACUUGUAUGUGAUGCCAUCAACAGCAACUGAUGAAACACCUCUGACCUGUGGGAGGAGGAGACGUCUGGUCCUGCAGCAACACAGCACAGCACCUUAUAUCACGGCUCCUGUACAGAAGAAAACUUAUCUACUGAUUCUUGGCAGAUUAUGUUACCAUUUGAGGUGAACUGAAGCCUUGAUGUAAUAGUGAUUGACGACUACAGUACAGGAGGAGAGAGAGUGUUAUCUGGCAUUGGUAAUAGAAUAGUUAGCACCUGUGUGUUAGUAACUUACAGGGUUCAGUUUAACACAGAUAAGGCUCAUCAUAUAUUUUAAUAAAGUACAGGUAUCCCCCAAGAUACUUACAGUAUGUCCAAUAAAUGAACAAUCAUUAUUACAAAAAUAUCAGUUUGACUUUUAACAAAUUCCCCUCAGUCACAUAGUCAGUAUAGCCCAGUGGUGCAUUGGCACUAUUGCAGAAUGUUGGUUGUGUUUAAUGUAUUAAUUAUUUUACAAGAAUUGUAUUGGUGAAAACCCACCAGUUGACUGAUUUUUCCCUCCCAGAACAUAAUGCAAGAGUUCUACCAUUCAAUAUGUUUUUUAACUUAGAACCCUUAGUGCUAUACAGUAUGUUAGAGGAUACCUGUACAUAUAAAUUAAUGUACAGUACUGUAGGUUCACCUGUUGGGGAAGUGAAGGUAGUGUUAAUCACAAGGUUCAGUAUACAGUAUCUACACUGCCCUUAAUGGACCAUCAUGCUUGUGUGGAUUAACCAAACACUACUUAACAAAGUUCAUUUAAGUUGUAGUGGAAAAAUAAUUAAUUUGCAGAACUUGACAUGAAGUAUUUAUGAAAAAUUGUUCAAUGUGUACAUAAUGUGAGGUGCCUGGUGGAAGAGUGAUGUAUGUGCCAAGACCACAAGCAAGGUUAAAGUUUGUUUACACUGUAUCCCACCACACUUAUAGUUUUAUACUGUAUAUCCUCUGGCAACUGUUGAAACAAACAUCUUGCUUGACCACUAACUCGCUUCCACCGAGUGCCUCAUACAUUUGUGUUUUUC